Molecule: long non-coding RNA, 6599 nt
Filed under: Homo sapiens (human)
Lineage: Eukaryota; Metazoa; Chordata; Mammalia; Primates; Hominidae
Description: non-protein coding NUTM2A-AS1:34
Source: RNAcentral
AGAAGGAGUGCGGUCCACUGGAGGUCUCCCUACAUUCUUCCUCCAUUAUCUCACUGCCUCCGGUGGCUGCUGGGAUACCGGAGGACUCGGGUCCCGGCUCGACUCAGUCCUCCAGCCGCCCGGGGAAUACCUCUAGUUCUUCCCGGCCGCCGCCGCCUCCGCCCCGCCGCUUCCUCCUCCGCCUGCCGGCCUCCUUCGCCCCGCCCCGUCCGCGCAGCUCGUCCGGCCCGCCCGCAGGCCAGCUUCUCUCGGGAGCCUCCACCCAGGCGCAUGGCUCCAUGAAGCAAGAGGAGGAGGCAGAGCGCGAGAGAUCCCGUCCGCCCCAGCCGCGUCUGGGCCAGGAGAAAAGCAAAACCAUAUUCCUGCUGCUGUCAGUUUUGAUGCACUGAGAAAACUUCAGAGACCUAAGCUUUUUCCAGAGAAGAGAAGCUUUACUGGUGUUCCAGCCCUAAGUCUCGCUCUGUCGCUCAGGCUGGAGUGCAAUGGCGCGAUCUCGGCUCACUGCAAGCUCCGCCUCCUGGGUUCACUCCAUUCUCCUGCCUCAGCCUCCGGAGUAGCUGGGACUACAGGCACCCGCCACCGCGCCCAGCUAAUUUUUUUUUUUUUUAGUAGAGACGCGGUUUCACCGUGUUAGCCAGGAUGGUCUCGAUCUCCUGACCUCGUGAUCCGCUCGUCUCGGCUUCCCAAAGUGCUGAGAUUACAGGCUUGCAGGCGUGAGCCACCGCGCCCGGCCGAGUUAAAGUACUUUUUCUGGAACAAAGAAACUUAGCAUAAAUAGUUAAAAUAUUAAGAGUUGUAAUUAAGGGAAAUUUCAGCUCAAUAUGACUUCAACAGUUUAAAAAAUGUAUUAUUUCACAUAAGACCAUGGAGAGAGGAAUUGGAAGCCCCAGAAUUGAUUGGGUCAGAAAUUGAAAAUGAUACUAUCAGUGACCCAGGUUUGAAUGUCUCUCUCCACAGCAUUGACUUCACUAAUGGAUGUGACCUGGUUGGCAGCAGUAGCUUGCACAACAUGCUUGUUUGCAGUGAGUAGUAGAGAGAAGGUUUUGCUUUCCCAGAAACUCUGAAAAAGGUCAUCAAACCUAAAUUUCCUUAGCCUUCUUCUUCCAUGAGCAAAUCACUAGCAGAUGAUUGCUAGCAAGGUGUUACUAUUACAAUGAACCCCUAAGUGUCAGAGAAAGAGUUAGUUUGGGGAAAUAUCCUCUCCACCACAAUCUUAGUCAUUGAAGUCAAUUUAACAAUAUAUUGAAAUAUUUUUCUUAGAAGUUUAAAGUUCCAUUAAAGAGUAACAAUUACAGAAAUUAUAGGUAGCCUUUAGUUCUACAAGUGACAUCUCAAAAGGGAGAUGAUUCAUCAAUUUCAAACUUUCCCUGCAAGUAAUACUGGAUGAAAAUUAACUUGGCCAACAUAAUUAAUAAUCAUGGGUUAUUAAUUACUUCUGCAAGAAACUUAAAUCCUCAGUGUGACACAACUCAGUCCUUCUACUGCAGCAGCUCUUUUAUAAAAGCCUCCCAAAGCUCCAAGAAGGAACAAAGAAUGUGACCCAGUAAGCUCACACCAUAAGUCUAUAUUGCAGAAACCUUUGUUCAACAAAACUGCAGAUGCUCUGUUGAAUCCACUGGAGAUUGUCCUGAUACUAAGGACAAGUAUGCUCAUAUGACAUUAACAGACAAGACACUUUUCAGAAAGACAGAAACUACUCUGAAAAACUCUCUUAAUGCUUUUUACGGCCGGGUGCGGUGGCUGGAGCCUGUAAUCCAAGCACUUUGGGAGGCCGAGGUGGGUGGAUCACCUGAGAUCUGGAGUUCGAGACCAGCCUGGCCAACAAGGUGAAACCCCACCUCUAUUAAAAAUACAAAAAUUAGCUGGGUGUGGUGGCACACACCUGUACUCCCAGCUACUUGAGAGGUUGAGGCAGGAGAAUCGCUUGAACUCGGGAGACGGAGGUUGCAGUGAGCCAAUAUUGCGCCAUUGCACUCCAGCCUGGGCAACAAGAGCGAAAUUCCAUCUCAAAAAAUAAAUAAAUAAAUAAAUAAAUAAAUAAAUAAAUAAAUAAAUAUUAAAAAAAUAGUUUUUACUUUAUUUCUCCCAAAAUAUGUCAAAAAUGGGAUAAUGGCACACUUGCUUUUUCUGUAGUCAAAACCAUUUUGUAAAAAAACUUGAAAUGUACAGUGUAGAAUCCAAGGGCAGAAAAUAAAGGCUGAACAUAGAACUAAGAACCUGUCCAACAUCAAGGCAGUGGCUUUUUAUCAAUUUCUCUCACUCCAGGGCAACAUUUAUUUUCUUACUCUUGUACUCUUUGUAUCUCCAUUGCUUGCCUGUGGAUCAAUAAUAUUAUUCUUUAUAACAUUAUGGAGGCUAUAUGGCUUUGUGCAUCCAGUAUGCAUCAUUAUUAUAACCUUCAUCUCAAUUAGAAUUCUCAAGUGAAAGAGGCUUAUUGAUUUCCAACCAAUAAAUGGAUAACUUCCACCUAAAUCAAGCGUUCAUUCAUUGUCCAAUCCACUGGACCAGGUGGGCUUGAAUCAUACAUGGAAGCAAACUUCCUAACAUGCUGAAUGGGUUGGCUCUCAUAGAAGGUAUUCUUGAGUGGGCAGGUUUCCUUACAAAACAUAGUAUACUAAGACUGUGGUAUUCAGACAGCUCUUCAAUCUUCAAGGGAACUGUGGAAGUAAACCAGGGGUGACAUGGAUUAUCAAAUAUUGUGGAUCAGGUGAGCUCUAGGCUUCUCAAUGCAAGGUAAUUACCCUGCACUUUCAUCUAUUUUAUAAUAUUGCCUUUAUUUUUUUCCAUGAAAGAGUAAGGUUUGGAAAAACAAGAAAAACACGGUUAAAAUUAUUUCUCUAGUGAAUUGGUUGUGUUUAUAAAUCUUUAGCUUAGCUUGAGUCCCCCUUUGUGAAAUGUAUAAAUCCUUUUGAUACAUUAACAAACACUUGGAAAAUGACUUAACUUAUUAAGUUGAAUUCUCUAAUAUAAGGGUUAUAAGUGAGGGCUUAAUUAUUCAGCAUUACUGAAUUCAAUAUAUCUGCCCUUUCAGUUUGCCUAGGGUGACAAAUACAUUUCCCAUUACAGCUUGCCAAUGUAACACAGCCUUAUUUCAUUUUUGUUGUAAAUAGAAUCACAUUCUAAUAUGUUUUAGCUGAAAACAGCAAAGUAUAUAUUCAACUACUUCCCAAUAGGGAAAAUUUUUUAAAAAAGUUAUUUCUUUAGCCCAGAGCUUUAUUUUCCUUUUACAUAACAGAAAAAUACUUGGUGUGAAAUAAAACCUUCUUACACGUAAUGAGACCCCAUAGAAUUUUAAUGAAAGACAAUUGAAGACCCAUUUUUAAAUAAGCCAUUGGGAAGAAUUAAUAUAAUUAAGAAUAGAAAAAAACUAGAUAAAGUUACAAGAACAACCUAGGAACAUUUCUAUAUUUCUUCCUCAUUUUCUGGAGUUCUAAAAGAUGUUGAAACAUUUUGACAGCUAUAGAAAAUGACCUAGGGACAAAUAUACUCUCUAUUCCUGACAUAAAAUGAUAUGCUUAUUGUGUUUCUCAUAAAACUCAGCAUAAAACUAUAUACCUAAUAGUUAUUUAAAAGGAGUUCCUAAAAAUAAAUAUAUUCAUUAUUAAUAUGUGACAUGACUGAGUUACUUUUGAAAAACUACGAAUUAUUCAACAUACUUUAACAUAGGAUUUAGUAUCAAUAUGGUAUCCAUUUCUUGAUUCUGUUUUUCAUAGUGCACUUAAAUAUAUAUGUUAAUACUUUUGAAUAAGUGCAUUAUGCUAUGAAAUGUUUUAAUGAGAAAAAUGAAUCUAUACAAAGCAACUUCAUUUAUAUUUUGUUCCUGUCACGUUACAUUGCUGAUAUUUUGUAUUAUACUAGACAUGACUCAUUUUUAAAUAUGUAAUUGUAUAUGAAGUUCUCAGUGUUAAUGUCUGGAGGAUACGGAAUAAAAACAGAAGAAAAGUUAAAAAAUUAAAAGUAAACUAUAUUUUGCAUAUGAAUAAGAAUAUUACAAAUACCAUAUUUAUAUACUAUGUUUAUAUAUCUUUACACUAUGCCAAAAGGUAUAUAUGGCAUAUAUGCAUAUAUACCUUUUUUAUGCAGAGAAAUAAUAUCUCUGCAUAAGCAUAAAAUCAAGAUACAUAAUAUUUUAAAAUGUUUUUCAUUGAAGUGUAAUUGACAUAAACUGAACAUAUCCAGUGUAUUUUUAAAGUUUUGGCAUAUUGGUACACGAGAAAACACCAUGGCAAUCAAGAUCAUGAACAUAUUCACUUCCCUGAAGUUAUUUUGUGUCUUUAGUAAUCGCUUCUUCCCCUCUUCCCUACUCAAUCUCCAUGCAACUACUAAUCUAUUUCUGAUACUACAGAAUGGUUUACACUUGGUAGAAUUUUAUGUAAAUGGAGUCACAAAAUCUAUUCUUUUUUGUCUGUCUUUUGCACUCAACAUAACUACUCUGACUUUCGCCUAUGUUGAUACUGGUAGCAAUAGUUCAUUCUUUUUUUAAUUAAUAGAUUUUAUUUUUAGAACAAUUUUACGUUUAUAGUAGAAACUAACAAAGCAGAGAGAAUUUCCAUACACUUUCUUCUACUCUCCAUAUUCUUUAUGAUUAAUAUCUUGGAUUAGUGUGGUACAUUCGUUAUAAUUGAUGCAUCAAUAUUGACAUAUUAUAAAUGAAAGUCCAUACAUUAGUUUUAUAUUAGGGUUCACUCUUGACAUUAUACAUUUCAUGCGUUUGGACAAAUGCAUAUGUCAUGUAACCACUACUACAAUAUUAUAAGAAUAGUUUUACUUUCUUAAAAAUUUCUGUGCUUGAUUUAUUCAUCCCUUCCCUUGGAGACUACUGGAAAUUCUGAUCUUUUUACAGUUUUCCCCUUUUUAAGAAUGUUGUAUCAUUGGAAUUAUACAGUGUACAGCCUUUUCAGAUUAGCUUCUUUCACUAAGUUGUAUGCAUUUUAGGUUCUUGCAUGUUUUGUAUGGUUUGAUAGCUUAUUUUUAAAUCACUGAAUAUCCCAUUUUAUAGGUAUGCCAGUUUAUUGAACCAUUACUCACCUGUUGGGGGCAUCUGGUAGCUACCAAGUUUUGUUAUGAGAAAAGCUAUUUUAAGGAGUCAUGUGACUCAUUUGGAUAGGAGUGAAGUUUUUUUGACUCAUUUGGAUAGGAGUGAAGUUACUAGUCCAUGUGGUAAGACUACAUUUAACUUUGUAAGAAACUGCAAAGCUAUCUUCUAACGUGGCUGUGCCAUUUUGCAUUCCCACAAGCAAUAAAUGAGAGUUUCCCUUGCUCUUUAUCUUCAACACAAUUUAGUGUUUUCAGUGUUCUGGAUUUUAGCCAUUUUAGUAGGCAUGCGGUGGUAUCUCGUUCGAAUGAGCGAUUCUCUAAUAAUACAUGAUGUUGAGCAUACUUCAUUCGCUUAUUUGCCAUCAAUAUAUUUUCCUCGGUGAAAUGUCUGUUCAGAUCUCCUGUCCAUUUUUUAACUGGAUUAUUUAUCUUUUUUUUUUCUUUUUGAGUUUUAAGAGUUCUGUGGAGUGCUCAUACCAGUUCUUUAUUGGAUACAUGUUUUGUAAAUAUUGUCUCCCAGUCUUGGCUUGUUUUUUAAAUAUUAACUAUGACUUUCUUAGAGCAGAAGUUUUAAUUUUUAUUAAAUUCAACUUAUAACAUUCUUCUAUAGUCUCACAUUUUUAUGUUUAAAUCUAUUAUCCAUUCUUGUACAUUGUGUAAACACAGUGUCUAGAUUCUUUUUUUUUGGAUGUGGAUGUCCAAUUGUUCCAGUACCGUUUGUUGAAAAUAUGGUUGUGUGUGUGUGUGUGUGUGUGUGUGUGUGUGUGUGUGUGUGUGUGGUUAUAUCUCACGUUAUGAGUAUACCGUGUUUGGUUUAUUUAUUCACCCAUUGAUAAACUUUGGGUUGUUUACAGUUUAGUGUUAUUAUAAAUAAGUUUGUCAUGGCCACUUGCAAACACAUUCUUGUAUGUAUAUAUGCUAUACUGUUUUCUGCUUAAAGAGCAACAGUAGAAUAAGUAGGUAAAAUGAUGGGGGUCUAUUUAACUUUGUAAGAAACAGUCCAUUUUUUUUUUCCCAGAGUGGCUGUAUCAUUUUACUUUCCUACCAUCAGUAUUUGAGAAUUACAGUUGUUCUAAAUCAUCACCAACACAAAAGAUGAUGAGUAUUUUUAAUUGUAUUUAUUCUAGUAGGUGUGGAAUGGCAUCUCAUUUAAUUUGUAUUUCUCUAAUGGCUAAAGAUAUUGAACAUCUUUCGAUGUGAUUAUUUGCUGUCUCUGAAUUUCCUCUGGCAAAGUAUAUGUAGGUGUGGAAUGGCAUCUCAUUUAAUUUGUAUUUCUCUAAUGGCUAAAGAUAUUGAACAUCUUUUGAUGUGAUUAUUUGCUGUCUCUGAAUUUCCUCUGGCAAAGUAUGUGUUCAAGUAUAUUCUUUUCCUUAUUGUUUAUUGUUGGUCUGUAAUUUUCCUUAUAAUUGAGUUUACAUAUUUUGGAUACACAUUCUUUAUCAGAUAUAAUUUGGAAAUGUCUAUUCCUAGUUUGAGGCAUAUAGGGUAGAAAUAUAGAAUUUUUUGUUUUUAUGAAGUCAUAUUUAUUGUUGUUGUAACUGGUUUUUUUGUUUGUUCUCUAG